AUUAAAUAAUUCUUUUUAUUAUACAAGGAUUUUGAAAAUCUUUAAAGGCAUAAAUAAUGUCAUUUAGUG
Molecule: transfer RNA, 69 nt
Filed under: Rabdotus mooreanus
Lineage: Eukaryota; Metazoa; Mollusca; Gastropoda; Stylommatophora; Orthalicidae
Description: tRNA-Ser
Source: RNAcentral